CCUACGGGUGGCAGCAGUCGAGAAUCAUUCACAAUGGGGGAAACCCUGAUGGUGCGACGCCGCGUGGGGGAAUGAAGGUCUUCGGAUUGUAAACCCCUGUCAUGUGGGAGCAAAUUAAAAAGAUAGUACCACAAGAGGAAGAGACGGCUAACUCUGUGCCAGCAGCCUCGGUAAUACAGAGGUCUCAAGCGUUGGUCGGAAUCACUGGGCGUAAGGCGUGCGUAGGCUGUUUCGUAAGUCGUGUGUGAAAGGCGCGGGCUCAACCCGCGGACGGCACAGGAGACUGCGAGACUAGAGUAAUGGAGGGGGAACCGGAAUUCUCGGUGUAGCAGUGAAAUGCGUAGAUAUCGAGAGGAACACUCGUGGCGAAGGCGGGUUCCUGGACAUUAACUGACGCUGAGGCACGAAGGCCAGGGGAGCGAAAGGGAUUAGAUACCCGAGUAGUC
This 446-nucleotide ribosomal RNA is filed under the name uncultured bacterium. RNAcentral describes it as "partial 16S ribosomal RNA". It matches the Rfam family "Bacterial small subunit ribosomal RNA", at positions 338 to 795 of the family's 1533-position model. The record is from RNAcentral.